This 315-nucleotide unclassified non-coding RNA is filed under the name plant metagenome. Its description in RNAcentral is "partial contains 5.8S ribosomal RNA, internal transcribed spacer 2, and large subunit ribosomal RNA". The stretch from base 1 to 105 matches the Rfam family "5.8S ribosomal RNA", at positions 50 to 154 of the family's 154-position model. The record is from RNAcentral.
GAAAUGCGAUAACUAGUGUGAAUUGCAGAAUUCCGUGAAUCAUCGAGUCUUUGAACGCACAUUGCGCCCCCUGGUAUUCCGGGGGGCAUGCCUGUCCGAGCGUCAUUGCUGCCCAUCAAGCACGGCUUGUGUGUUGGGUCGUCGUCCCCUCUCCGGGGGGGACGGGCCCCAAAGGCAGCGGCGGCACCGCGUCCGAUCCUCGAGCGUAUGGGGCUUUGUCACCCGCUCUGUAGGCCCGGCCGGCGCUUGCCGAACGCAAAUCAAUCUUUUUCCAGGUUGACCUCGGAUCAGGUAGGGAUACCCGCUGAACUUAAG